AAGCUCUCAAAAUGACUGUGAAAUGUUGAUUCCUAUAUUCAUAUCACAGCCAUUUGAUGAGCUUGG
RNAcentral lists this microRNA precursor (66 nucleotides) under Mayetiola destructor (Hessian fly). Its description in RNAcentral is "mir-2 microRNA precursor". It matches the Rfam family "mir-2 microRNA precursor family". Rfam says of the family: The miRNAs are transcribed as ~70nt precursors (modelled here) and subsequently processed by the Dicer enzyme to give a ~22nt product. The record is from RNAcentral. Lineage: Eukaryota; Metazoa; Arthropoda; Insecta; Diptera; Cecidomyiidae.